UGCGUAGGUGGUCGGGUAAGUUUGAUGUGAAAUCUCCGGGCUCAACCCGGAAACUGCAUUGAAUACUAUUCGGCUGGAGGGUUGGAGGGGGGACUGGAAUUCUCGGUGUAGCAGUGAAAUGCGUAGAUAUCGAGAGGAACACCAGUGGCGAAGGCGAGUCCCUGGACAACUCCUGACACUAAGGCACGAAAGCUAGGGGAGAAAC
This 205-nucleotide ribosomal RNA is filed under the name uncultured bacterium. RNAcentral's name for it is "partial 16S ribosomal RNA". It matches the Rfam family "Bacterial small subunit ribosomal RNA", at positions 568 to 772 of the family's 1533-position model. The record is from RNAcentral.